This is a microRNA precursor of Carassius auratus (goldfish), 70 nucleotides long. Lineage: Eukaryota; Metazoa; Chordata; Actinopteri; Cypriniformes; Cyprinidae. The record is from Ensembl.
UGAGGUAGUUGGUUGUAUGGUUUUGCAUCAUAAUCAGCCUGGAGUUAACUGUACAACCUUCUAGCUUUCC